AUGCAAGACUAUUUCGCGGAGAAUCCAACGUAUCCACCGCACCUCUUCCGGAGAAGGUACCGAAUGCGCCGAUCCCUCUUUGUGAAAAUUGUUCAAACUUGCGAGGCAAAUUGUCGGUAUUUUACUCAACGAAGAAAUGUUGGACAAUAA
Molecule: ribosomal RNA, 150 nt
Filed under: Triticum aestivum (bread wheat)
Lineage: Eukaryota; Viridiplantae; Streptophyta; Magnoliopsida; Poales; Poaceae
Description: partial small subunit ribosomal RNA
Source: RNAcentral